UACAGAGGUCUCAAGCGUUGUUCGGAUUCAUUGGGCGUAAAGGGCGCGUAGGCGGCGGGGUCAGUCGGGUGUGAAAUCUUGGGGCUUAACCCCGAAACGGCACUCGAAACUGCCCGGCUGGAGGGCCGGAGAGGAGAUCGGAAUUCACGGUGUAGCAGUGAAAUGCGUAGAGAUCGUGAGGAAGACCCGUGGCGAAGGCGGAUCUCUGGACGGCUAAAACUGACGCUGAGGCGCGAAGGCCAGGGGAGCGAACGGG
RNAcentral lists this ribosomal RNA (256 nucleotides) under uncultured bacterium. RNAcentral's name for it is "partial 16S ribosomal RNA". It matches the Rfam family "Bacterial small subunit ribosomal RNA", at positions 524 to 776 of the family's 1533-position model. The record is from RNAcentral.